GCCUAGUUAGCUUAGUUGGUAGUGCGUCUGCCUUGUAAGCGCUAGGCCGCAGGUUCGAUUCCCGCCCGGGGUG
This 73-nucleotide transfer RNA is filed under the name Diaphorina citri (Asian citrus psyllid). It matches the Rfam family "tRNA". From Rfam's summary of the family: Transfer RNA (tRNA) molecules are approximately 80 nucleotides in length. Lineage: Eukaryota; Metazoa; Arthropoda; Insecta; Hemiptera; Psyllidae. The record is from Rfam by way of RNAcentral.